Arachis duranensis is the source of this 1104-nucleotide long non-coding RNA. RefSeq lists it as uncharacterized. NCBI's taxonomy places the organism in Eukaryota, Viridiplantae, Streptophyta, Magnoliopsida, Fabales, Fabaceae. The transcript is spliced from 3 exons. The record is from RefSeq and is a predicted model, not a curated record.
CCCCAAAAUAACCCAACACCCACAACUUCAGAACCCAACAGCCACAGUUUUAGAAAAUCCAAAAAAAAAAUAGAGAAAGAAAGAAAGGGAGAAAAGAGAACGAGGAGAGCAAAGGGGAGGAAGGAAGAAGAAGGAGGCGGUGCGGUGGGUGUCACUGCCACCGUCGCCGUCGUUGUUGGCAGAGGAGAGAGGAGAUCCGAGAGAGGAGAUCGCGUAGUUGCCGCUGCCCAGGCCAGCCAUGUCGCCGCCGCCAUUCAGCUCGCUGCCGUCCUGCGCCGUUGUGCCACCGACCAAGAAGACUGCGUAAGAGAGAGCGAGACACGAAGGAGAGGAGGUCGUGGGUCACUGUCCUCAAAGCUUUCGUCGUCACUGUGCAAAGCUGCCGCCAUCGUCCUUAUCGCGGGCUGCUGCUGCUGCGCGUGUGCUCGCUGCCACCUCUGGGUCCGUCACCGUCGAGCAGAGCCUCUGUGGAGAACUGUCGCCGUCAAAAGCUGCUCCGCCACCGUUUAGGUCACCGGGAAUGUGGCCGUGAUCACCGAAACCACCAUCGGAAUUAUCGCUAUUCAGUACAGUCGUUCUUUCUUGUCUGGGAUCAAGUUCUGGGUCUCGCAUGCUGAGUUCUAUGACUGUGCAUACGACAUCAAGCUGCUGUGUUGUCACCGGAGCUGCCACUGCUCUGUUCUCUUGCUUAUUUGCUCUGUUCUCUCGUCCCGAACCUCUAUAGUUGUUAUUCUGUUAUAUGUUUCUAAGGUCCUUGCAACGUUAAUGCUUUAGGUUUGAAUUCGGUUAUUACGUGCUGUGGUUGAGGUUGUGCUGUUGCGGGCCAUGAGAAAAAAAGUUUUUGUUGCGUGGUUAAAUCGUAAUCGAGGAAUCGGAUGAAGGAGCAUUAUGAAGAGUUAUAUUGCGUUUUAGUUUAUAUGAUUUUGUAUUAAUUAGAUAAUUUUUCUUCCCUCGUCUUUGUUAUUACAAUUUUGUAAGAGGGAUAGGAGUUAUAUGUUUUAUAUGUAUAUUAUAUUAUAAGCUAUUAUGUAAGAAGUCUUGUAUAUGAAUCUAUGCCUGUUUGUUUUUUUACGAUAAAGUAUUUAUUUCAUGUUUUCAAAGAAA